Molecule: non-coding RNA, 29 nt
Organism: Schistosoma margrebowiei
Lineage: Eukaryota; Metazoa; Platyhelminthes; Trematoda; Strigeidida; Schistosomatidae
Source: Rfam
AUCCAGCUGACGAGUCCCAAAUAGGACGA